GUCCUAUGUAGUAUAAAGGAAAUAGGUAAGAUUGUGAUUUACCAGCAAAUGUCACUUUUUCAUUGUAGGGGUUUGUGGCAGAUAAAAGAAUGGCCCUCCAAAGAUGUUCGAGUUUUAAUCCCCAAAACCUGGGACACCCCAGAUGGCAACAGCGGACACAUUCUCCUCUAUCCCUACUGGAGCGAGUGCCCACUGGGAUCAAAGUGGGAUUUGGGUACUGCUGGAGUGUUAACGAGAUGACAUGUCUCCCAGUUUUCUGCUGCAUUCUGUUUUGCCCGAUUGUGAAGGAGCCUUCCAGGAAAAGAACUCAAGCCAUAUCCACGCUGUGUAUGUAGAGGCCUGGAACACAGAUGUGGCCACAAGAGCCGGCCCCAAACAUGCCAACAAUGAGUUGGUGGCACACUAGGAUG
Long non-coding RNA from Lynx canadensis (Canada lynx), 410 nucleotides. RefSeq lists it as uncharacterized. The record is from RefSeq and is a predicted model, not a curated record. Lineage: Eukaryota; Metazoa; Chordata; Mammalia; Carnivora; Felidae. The transcript has 3 exons.